UGCCGUAGAUAUAUUAAUAUUAUGUGAUACAUGACAGAAGCUCGAAACAAAUGACAAUCAAUGAAAAACCCUAUUGCCCAAUUACUGAAAUGGUCAUCACGAAACGGUCACUAAAAGAUCACAAUUCUUGUUGGAACAGUGGGAAGGACGAUCCGAGGACGAUCAUAUUUUUGUUGGAACGGAUUUUGUUUACUGCGCAGGAGCGUUACCGUUUCGUGACGGUUCUCGGUCGUGUUGGAACAAACCUAUAGUUAUUCAAUUAUGAAUUUUAGAUGUCACAGUAAGAAAUAUUUUAUAACAUGGCAACACUGUCAGUGUUUUUAGAUUACCUCAAAUUGGCUCAAAUGUCAACUACAAAUUGGUUAUGUUUGGUUGCCCUAAACUUGAUGUCCGCUUUGUUAAUUAAUAUUUUAAUAAUAUGUAAUUUCCAGAUAUAAAUAAGCAAUGCUGUUGUUUUCAUAAUUGCACAGAGAAUUAACAUUUUGUACUAACCAUUAAUGUGACACCAAGUUUUUCUUCUGGUGUUAUCACUCUCUUUCUACCAUUCUUGUACGAGAUUUCGUUAUGUCUUCCUUGAUAACACAUAACAAGAAAUGGAACUGGUUCUUCGUCACGCGAAAGAAACUAUGAAACUUGGUCUCAUUAUCAACCAUAUAUUUACUUAUUAAAUUGGUUUGGUAUCCUUCUUCAACCCUAUUCACAUACAUUUCAUCAGUUUUACUCUUUUUUGGUUUACAUUCAUCUGGGAGCAUCAUUUUUAAAAUGCUCUCCUCCAAUUCUUGCUCUUUUAAUAUGUGAAGAUAAACCUGUCUCUGUAGAUGCUCCAUUAUUAUUAUCACUAAAUUAAUUACUACUUACUACUAAUUACUACUACCUACUAAUUAUAAAUUACUAAAUAUUACUAUUAUUAUAAAUGACUAAUGAAUAUUAUUAAUUACUAAGUAUUAUUAUAAAUUACUAAAUAUUCCUAUUAUUAUUAAUUACUAUAAUUAUAAAUUAUUAAGUAUCAAUAUUAUUAUAAAUUACUAUGAAGCAAUGUUACUAUGUUAUCGGUGCUAUUAGAUAAUAGGUCUGUUCCUUUGUUUUUUAGUGUUACACUUUUGAGUGUAAGUGUAAGAAAUUCUAUGGACAUUUGAGUGUAAAUUACAGCGGACAGUAUUAAACGAAAAUUAUCGGUGUGCCAAUCAAGCAAAGGGACAAGGAACUUCCGAAUAUGGCCUAACUGGGGGCACAUAACAUAACCUAAUCCUAAUAUUUACAUUUGUAAAGAAUAUCCUGUUUGUUUUUAUUUUUUAUUGUCGAUUGUGCAGCGAAAUUGUGAUAGCAAAUCAAAUAUAAAGUAGUUUAUCGCCUACAGAACUGAAUUAGUCCAUAGCAGUUAUCAGUUUGCAAGUAGCAAGGGCUUUCUUGAGAAGCUUAUACAUGUAACUUGUAUUGUUGUAAAUUGUGGGAGUAGGGCAGACAGGGAAAAGUCAUAUUUUGUACUGUUCCCAAGGCUCCCCAUGCAAUACAUUUAAAUGAAUUAUCCAAACAAAGCCGGGGACAAUGGAUAAAAGCCACAAGAAGAACAGAUAUAAGGGAACUAAAAUUAAAAUAUGAAAAGUAAACAUUUUAUAAGUGGAACAACCACCAGAUAUUUAAAAGGUAUAAAAAGAAGAAACUGCUAGAACUUCAAAACAAAUGUGUUUGACUAGUAAAGAUUUUGAUAAAUAACAGGAGUUACUUUGGGCUAUAGCUACGUGCAGAUUUAUUUCCUUGUGGCUUCCUAUGUUAAUUCUUAUUAAUUAUGCACUUAAAUAUGUUUUUAGUCUCAGGAAGAUUUUUUAUUUGAUUAUUUUUGAAUAAACAUUAUUAUUAUUAUUAUCUUAAUUUCCAUUAAAUAAAUUAACUGUAAUCAAUCAAGUAAUCGUUUAAAUGUUAAUAAAUUAUCAAGUAUGA
RNAcentral lists this long non-coding RNA (1938 nucleotides) under Diabrotica virgifera virgifera (western corn rootworm). RNAcentral describes it as "uncharacterized LOC126888159". Lineage: Eukaryota; Metazoa; Arthropoda; Insecta; Coleoptera; Chrysomelidae. The record is from RNAcentral.